RNAcentral lists this ribosomal RNA (485 nucleotides) under uncultured bacterium. RNAcentral's name for it is "bacterial SSU rRNA". It matches the Rfam family "Bacterial small subunit ribosomal RNA", at positions 28 to 496 of the family's 1533-position model. The record is from RNAcentral.
GAUGAACGCUAGCGGCAGGCUUAAUACAUGCAAGUCGAGGGGCAUCAAGGUACACGAAAGUGUAUUGUUGGCGACCGGCGGACGGGUGAGUAAUAGGUAGGUAACCUACCUCAUACUGAGGCAUAGCUGGGAGAAAUUCCAGGUAAUUCCUCAUGAGGUUAUAUGACACAUGUGAUAUAAUCAAAGGUAUCGCAAGGUACUGGUAUGAGAUGGGCUUACUGACCAUUAGCUAGUUGGUGAGAUAAGAGCUCACCAAGGCGAAGAUGGUUAGGGGUUUUGAGAGAGAGAUCCCCCACAUUGGAACUGAGAUACGGUCCAGACUCCUACGGGAGGCAGCAGUAGGGAAUAUUGGGCAAUGGGCGGAAGCCUGACCCAGCCAUGCCGCGUGAAGGAAGACGGCCUUAGUGGGUUGUAAACUUCUUUACUAUGCGACUAACUAGAUUUACGAGAUAAUUCUAUAGAAUGUAGCAUAGCAAAAGCACCGG